GGGUCCUCCUUGUCCUGCUCCAGGUGGUCUGGGCCCAGUGUCACCAUGAUUCACUCUUGUUUGGCCCACACGGCCUAUCGCUUGCACUGCUGGCUGCCGAGAACUCACCAGCUCAGGCUUUUAUUGACUUUUAGGCCCAGAUCUUCCCGAUAUUGCAGCCAACCUCUCCUGUACAACCUGGUUGGUAAUAUCAUCUUUACCUUCUUCACAAUUGGUUUUACUGUGCUGUUUGUUCAGAUGGAGCCACUGCCAUGGGCACUGAAGUGGAUGUUUUCUGCAUUUGGUGUGGGAUCCUUCAGUGAAGGAGUCUGUACUAUGGUGUUAACAGUUUUGGCAACACUGUGAAAAAACAACCCCUGAACUUUACUACUUGUCUGUGCCGCUGUCGGUGAGCAGCUUAGCUUCUACAG
This 410-nucleotide small RNA is filed under the name Pongo abelii (Sumatran orangutan). Its description in RNAcentral is "unitary pseudogene". The record is from RNAcentral. Lineage: Eukaryota; Metazoa; Chordata; Mammalia; Primates; Hominidae.